GGACAACACGAAGCCCAGGCGCCCUGAAUGGAAGCUUGAGCGAGGAAAAUUGACGUCCACCGCUUGGGCGACCUCUCUAGAUGCUUGGGCGACGGGGUCUCGAAGCUUGGGCGCCCUAUUUGGAGGCCCAAGCUUUACAUGAGGUCUUUUCACCGCCCGGGUGCCUAAAGUGGGGCGCUUGAGCAUCGGGUUUCGUGGAUCAGGCCCAAUUUCUACUCUGUUUCGACUCUAUUGGACAAGGUCCUGUUUUUCCUCGUUUUUUACUGUAUUUAAAGGACCCUGGGGCUCUAGGUUUUGUAUCUCUGGUAGAGAAGAGCGCAACAAUAUACUCUUUUCCCAAUUCUUAGGCUUUCUUUGUCC
Molecule: long non-coding RNA, 360 nt
Filed under: Vigna radiata
Lineage: Eukaryota; Viridiplantae; Streptophyta; Magnoliopsida; Fabales; Fabaceae
Description: long non-coding RNA (VRAD_LNC009911)
Source: RNAcentral